AAGGAUUAUUUAACAAAUUAGCAAUCAUUUUGUUUUCAUAGUUUUGUUGCAAAAUAUAUAUUUUUAAUAAAAAACUGAUUUUCAACGGAACUACUUUAUUUUGACCAACCGGUUGUGAUGAGGCAGUUGUCAUAUGACCGACCCAUCACUGCACUUUCCGUGGCGUGUUAUUGAGUGUAGCCAGCAGCACAUUCAACAGAGACUACUAAAUCGAUGGCUGAAUUUAAUUGUGUUUAUAGUGCAGACCUGGAAGUAAAUUGUGGGACUAAUAAUUCCUCCCAGUGUCUAAUCACACUUCAAGGUAGUCCCCAUGUCAAGCAGCGGAGACAAUGAUGGGGAAUGGAGAUCAUGAUGCAGUUACUCAUCUUACCACAUGAGGGCAGCCAAGUGUAAGAUUUGGCAGUGGAUCUUAUUGAGAAACAGAAUAUCACCAUUACUUGUCCUAUAACAAAAAUGCAAUGUCAAUUUUUGAAAUUUCUCUCACAAUUUAAAACUGGUCCCCCUUUCCUGAGCAUUCUGUCAUACAUUCCCACAAAAUACAAGCAGACAAAACACCACAACUGGGAUGCUUUUUGAGAGCACCGUGAUUCUGUUUAAGUUACAAAGGAGAGCCAGAUAAAAGUGGUCAAUACUGACAAGUGUUUUAUUAGUAACACAGACCUGGGGACUGAGCCAAAAAGAUGCAGUCUUGACAAGACUGAAAUUGUUCAAAUGGCAUUGAAAAGACAGGAGCAGACAAUGGAACCAAUACAGUCAGGGGAACAAUCAAAAGGGCUGCUCAUUCUGCUUCAAAUACAAAACAACAAAGUACAAAUCCAGAAAUUAAGUGCAAAACCCAAAUUGAAUUGAUAUAUCAGGCAUAAGAUUUUCAAUAAUGGAGAUGUCUAUGUCAUACUAUACAUCAUGGUAACUGAAAGAUGAGAAAUUAAAAUAUUUUUUUUAACCAUUAUUUUCUUUCAUAAGUUCUUCAGUCCAGCCUUACAUCCUACAAUGGGUUUUGGAGGAACAAGCUUGAGAUAAAUGAUCAUGUCUAACCAACAGUCAUUUGAUUAAAAAAAAUAAAAAAUAGACUGCUUUAUACUUCAUCCAGAGAGGUCUGUGUUGUGUAGCAAAUCUUCAUUGCGUAAAAUUACUUGUCAUAACUCACUCAUUGGUACCCUCGACACAUGAAUUACCCUGGUUGAUUGACAGGGCCUAUAUUCCCCCAAUCAAAACUAUCAUCCUCCAUCUAAUCCUGUCGUCCGGUUCCUCUUGGCCAUCUUAACAGAAGUAAGGUCCAGUACCAAGUUGAGAAAGAGAGAGUAAAAUAACAGGCGUCGUUAGAGGUGCAGUCCAGACUAAUGACAUGUAAGAAAAAAAGGAUGGAAACUUGUCUAGUUCAUUGCCUUGCUGUCCCUAUUAUUUUGUAACGUCAAAAGUUUAGCAUGACGAACAAACGUGAGCAUUCUCCCAA
Oncorhynchus mykiss (rainbow trout) is the source of this 1453-nucleotide non-coding RNA. The record is from RefSeq and is a predicted model, not a curated record. Lineage: Eukaryota; Metazoa; Chordata; Actinopteri; Salmoniformes; Salmonidae.